GAUGAACGCUGGCGGCGUGCCUAAUACAUGCAAGUCGAGCGAACAGAUGAGGAGCUUGCUCCUCUGACGUUAGCGGCGGACGGGUGAGUAACACGUGGAUAACCUACCUAUAAGACUGGGAUAACUUCGGGAAACCGGAGCUAAUACCGGAUAAUAUAUUGAACCGCAUGGUUCAAUAGUGAAAGACGGUUUUGCUGUCACUUAUAGAUGGAUCCGCGCCGCAUUAGCUAGUUGGUAAGUUAACGGCUUACCAAGGCAACGAUGCGUAGCCGACCUGCGAGGGUGAUAGGCCACCGUGGAACUGAGACACGGUCCAGACUCCUACGGGAGGCAGCAGUAGGGAAUCUUCCGCAAUGGGCGAAAGCCUGACGGAGCAACGCGGCGUGAGUGAUGAAGGUCUUCGGAUCGUAAAACUCUGUUAUUAGGGAAGAACAAAUGUGUAAGUAACUAUGCACGUCUUGACGGUACCUAAUCAGAAAGCCACGGCUAACUACGUG
RNAcentral lists this ribosomal RNA (497 nucleotides) under uncultured bacterium. Its description in RNAcentral is "partial 16S ribosomal RNA". It matches the Rfam family "Bacterial small subunit ribosomal RNA", at positions 28 to 507 of the family's 1533-position model. The record is from RNAcentral.